Molecule: ribosomal RNA, 765 nt
Filed under: uncultured Streptococcus sp.
Lineage: Bacteria; Bacillati; Bacillota; Bacilli; Lactobacillales; Streptococcaceae
Description: bacterial SSU rRNA
Rfam family: Bacterial small subunit ribosomal RNA
Source: RNAcentral
GACGAACGCUGGCGGCGUGCCUAAUACAUGCAAGUAGAACGCUGAAGAGAGGAGCUUGCUCUUCUUGGAAGAGUUGCGAACGGGUGAGUAACGCGUAGGUAACCUGCCUUGUAGCGGGGGAUAACUAUUGGAAACGAUAGCUAAUACCGCAUAACAAUGGAUGACACAUGUCAUUUAUUUGAAAGGGGCAACUGCUCCACUACAAGAUGGACCUGCGUUGUAUUAGCUAGUAGGUGAGGUAACGGCUCACCUAGGCGACGAUACAUAGCCGACCUGAGAGGGUGAUCGGCCACACUGGGACUGAGACACGGCCCAGACUCCUACGGGAGGCAGCAGUAGGGAAUCUUCGGCAAUGGGGGCAACCCUGACCGAGCAACGCCGCGUGAGUGAAGAAGGUUUUCGGAUCGUAAAGCUCUGUUGUAAGUCAAGAACGAGUGUGAGAGUGGAAAGUUCACACUGUGACGGUAGCUUACCAGAAAGGGACGGCUAACUACGUGCCAGCAGCCGCGGUAAUACGUAGGUCCCGAGCGUUGUCCGGAUUUAUUGGGCUUAAAGCGAGCGCAGGCGGUUUGAUAAGUCUGAAGUUAAAGGCUGUGGCUCAACCAUAGUUCGCUUUGGAAACUGUCAAACUUGAGUGCAGAAGGGGAGAGUGGAAUUCCAUGUGUAGCGGUGAAAUGCGUAGAUAUAUGGAGGAACACCGGUGGCGGAAGCGGCUCUCUGGUCUGUAACUGACGCUGAGGCUCGAAAGCGUGGGGAGCGAACAGG